Molecule: ribosomal RNA, 552 nt
Filed under: Klebsiella pneumoniae
Lineage: Bacteria; Pseudomonadati; Pseudomonadota; Gammaproteobacteria; Enterobacterales; Enterobacteriaceae
Description: partial 23S ribosomal RNA
Rfam family: Bacterial large subunit ribosomal RNA
Source: RNAcentral
GAGCAGGUGCGAAAGCAGGUCAUAGUGAUCCGGUGGUUCUGAAUGGAAGGGCCAUCGCUCAACGGAUAAAAGGUACUCCGGGGAUAACAGGCUGAUACCGCCCAAGAGUUCAUAUCGACGGCGGUGUUUGGCACCUCGAUGUCGGCUCAUCACAUCCUGGGGCUGAAGUAGGUCCCAAGGGUAUGGCUGUUCGCCAUUUAAAGUGGUACGCGAGCUGGGUUUAGAACGUCGUGAGACAGUUCGGUCCCUAUCUGCCGUGGGCGCUGGAGAAUUGAGGGGGGCUGCUCCUAGUACGAGAGGACCGGAGUGGACGCAUCACUGGUGUUCGGGUUGUCAUGCCAAUGGCACUGCCCGGUAGCUAAAUGCGGAAGAGAUAAGUGCUGAAAGCAUCUAAGCACGAAACUUGCCCCGAGAUGAGUUCUCCCUGAGACUAUAAGUCUCCUGAAGGAACGUUAAAGACGAUGACGUUGAUAGGCCGGGUGUGUAAGCGCAGCGAUGCGUUGAGCUAACCGGUACUAAUGAACCGUGAGGCUUAACCUUACAACGCCGAAG